GCGCCUGUAGCUCAAUGGAUAGAGUACUGGGCUUCGAACCCAGGGGUUGUGGGUUCGAAUCCCACCGGGCGCACCA
This 76-nucleotide transfer RNA is filed under the name SAR202 cluster bacterium Casp-Chloro-G3. RNAcentral's name for it is "tRNA-Arg". It matches the Rfam family "tRNA". From Rfam's summary of the family: Transfer RNA (tRNA) molecules are approximately 80 nucleotides in length. Their secondary structure includes four short double-helical elements and three loops (D, anti-codon, and T loops). The record is from RNAcentral. RNAcentral also lists the same sequence under 1 other name. Lineage: Bacteria; Bacillati; Chloroflexota; Dehalococcoidia.